Molecule: small nuclear RNA, 103 nt
Organism: Bos grunniens (domestic yak)
Lineage: Eukaryota; Metazoa; Chordata; Mammalia; Artiodactyla; Bovidae
Source: Ensembl
UUGCUUUUGCAGCACAUAUACUAAAAUUGAAAAGAUACAGAAAAUACUAGAGUGGCCUCCACAAGAGGAUAACAUGAAUUUAUUAAAUGUGCCAUGGGUUUUG